GUUUUAUUUAAUAUUUGAUUCUGGUUUAUUUUAAUUGCUUUUUGAUUGUUUAAACAUGUGAAUUUUUGUGUGAAUAUGAUUUAUUUCUUAAAUAGAAAGAUUUUAAUAUAUUAUUCGCAGUUUUUAAUUUUAUACAUAUUUAAUUAUUUAAGAUAUGGCAAAUUGUUUUAUGAUUAGCAAAAAUUGUGCCAGCAGCUGCGGUUAUACAAUUAAUCAAAGUGAUUUUUAUUGGGUAAAUUAUUGAAUUUAUUUAAAUUGGUUAUAAAAUUUUAAAUUUUUAGGUGAAAUUUGAAUUUUUUAUUAUUAACCUGGUAUAAAUUAUAUUAUAAGAUAUUCUAUUUUUAUAAACUAGGAUUAGAUACCCUAUUAUUUAGAAUUUAAAUUUAUUCUCUAGUAUUAUAAGUUAUGAUCUUUAAAUUGAAAGGAUUUGACGGUAAUUUUGAUCAUUUUAGAGGAACCUGUUCUGUAAUUGAUAAUCCACGAUAAAUUUUACCUUUAAAAAUUGUUUGUAUAUCUCUGUCUGAUGAAUGUUUUAUUAGGAAAUUUUCGUUAAUUUUUGUUGAAAUUUAUGUCAGGUCAAGGUGCAGCUAUUUAUAGGUUUGAAAUGGGUUACAUUUAAUAUUUAAUUAUUGGAUUAAAGCGUGUAUUUGUUUUAUGAAAUUGGAUUUAGUUGUAAUAGAUAAUAUAUAUUAUCUGUGAUAUAUGUUCUUGGUUAAGUACACAUCGCCCGUCACUCUCAUUAUAAGAUGAGAUAAGUCGUAACAAAGUAGUCCUACCGGAAGGUGGGGCUAGAUUAU
This 797-nucleotide ribosomal RNA is filed under the name Sciocoris lateralis. RNAcentral's name for it is "12S ribosomal RNA". Lineage: Eukaryota; Metazoa; Arthropoda; Insecta; Hemiptera; Pentatomidae. The record is from RNAcentral.